GUAGGUGGCAAGCGUUGUCCGGAAUUAUUGGGCGUAAAGCGCGCGCAGGCGGUUCUUUAAGUCUGAUGUGAAAGCCCACGGCUCAACCGUGGAGGGUCAUUGGAAACUGGAGAACUUGAGUACAGAAGAGGAAAGCGGAAUUCCACGUGUAGCGGUGAAAUGCGUAGAGAUGUGGAGGAACACCAGUGGCGAAGGCGGCUUUCAGGUCUGUAACUGACGCUGAGGCGCGAAAGCGUGGGGAGCAAACAGGAUUAGAUACCCUGGUAGUCCACGCCGUAAACGAUGAGUGCUAAGUGUUAGGGGGGUUUCCGCCCCCCUUAGUGCUGCAGCUAACGCAUUAAGCACUCCGCCUGGGAGUACGGCCGCAAGGCUG
This 373-nucleotide ribosomal RNA is filed under the name uncultured organism. RNAcentral's name for it is "partial 16S ribosomal RNA". It matches the Rfam family "Bacterial small subunit ribosomal RNA", at positions 527 to 896 of the family's 1533-position model. The record is from RNAcentral.